UUGUGUAGCCAAUCUUUCUUGUCAAAGACUGAUCUCAUCUGAUCUCAGACUCUAAGCAGGGCUGAGCCUGGUUAUUACUUGGACUGGAGACCACUGGGAAUUACAGGGGCCACAGU
This 116-nucleotide ribosomal RNA is filed under the name Periophthalmus magnuspinnatus. Lineage: Eukaryota; Metazoa; Chordata; Actinopteri; Gobiiformes; Gobiidae. The record is from RNAcentral.